Bombus pascuorum is the source of this 399-nucleotide long non-coding RNA. RefSeq lists it as uncharacterized. The transcript is spliced from 2 exons. The record is from RefSeq and is a predicted model, not a curated record. Lineage: Eukaryota; Metazoa; Arthropoda; Insecta; Hymenoptera; Apidae.
GUUUAUUAAGUAUAGUUUACUGGCGGUUGAUUGUACUUCUUUCACCUUCUCUACAUUUUUUCACUUAUUCUACGAUUUCAAAUGUGAUGUCGAUGUAUAUGUGUAUAUGUAUGUGUCGAUAUGCAUUCGAUUAUUGACAUACACUUUUGGAGGGAAGAAAGCUGUAGGCGGAGAUGUAAAUAAACGCGCAUUAAUUGAUCAAUUUGGUCUUUUAUCUUUUGCUCACUAAUAAGUUUGAUUUGUAUAGCGGUUAUCGUAAUUAUGAAAUUAUCGUUUUUAUUUUACCAACUUGUCCAUAGCCACGAUCACAGACACAAGAGAGGUGAAUGUAUCAUACAAUAGUAUCGAAGUUAUAAAUUGAUUUCGAAUUGAAAAAUUAAAGUUAUUCAAUAUUGAAAA